Molecule: transfer RNA, 76 nt
Filed under: Eubacterium sp.
Lineage: Bacteria; Bacillati; Bacillota; Clostridia; Eubacteriales; Eubacteriaceae
Also listed under: 1 other name
Description: tRNA-Met
Rfam family: tRNA
About the family: Transfer RNA (tRNA) molecules are approximately 80 nucleotides in length. Their secondary structure includes four short double-helical elements and three loops (D, anti-codon, and T loops).
Source: RNAcentral
CGCGGGGUAGAGCAGUUGGUAGCUCGUCGGGCUCAUAACCCGGAGGUCAGAAGUUCGAGUCUUCUCCCCGCAACCA